Molecule: long non-coding RNA, 1029 nt
Filed under: Phascolarctos cinereus (koala)
Lineage: Eukaryota; Metazoa; Chordata; Mammalia; Diprotodontia; Phascolarctidae
Description: lncRNA (ENSPCIG00000036413.1)
Source: RNAcentral
AUGCACACACAGACAGAGACAGACAGACACAAAGACAGACAUAUACACGCACAGACAGAGACACACAGAGAUACAGAGAGACAGAGACGCAGACAGACACAGAGACACAGACACAGACACACAGACAGACAUAUACACACAGAGAGACACACAGACAUAGAGACACAAAGACAGAGACACACAGACAGACACAGAGACACACACAGAUACACAGAGGCAGACAGAGACAGACACACAGACACACAGAUAUAUACACACACAGAGACACACAGACUGACACAAAGACAGACACACAGACAGAUGCAGACAGACACACACACACAGAGGGACAGACAGACACACAGAGACAGACAGACACAGAGACAUACAGACAGAGACACAGAGACACAAAGAGACAGACAGAGACACACAGACAGACACAGACAGACACACAGAGAGACAGAGAUACACAGACACAGAGACACACAGACACACACACAGACAGACACACACACAGAUAGACACACAGACACAGACAGACGGAGACACACAGACACACGGAGACACACAGACAGGCACGCAGACAUAGACAGAUGGGCACACAGACGGGCACACAGACAGACACAGAGACAGACACACAGUCACACAGAGACAGACCCAUACACACACACAAAGACAGACAGACACACACACACACACACAGAGACACACAGAGACAGACACAGAGACACACAGACAGACGUGAGACACACAGACAUGAGACACAGACACACACACAGACAUGCAGAGACACACACACAAAGACAGACUCAGAGACACACACAGGGAGACGCAGAGGAGAUGGGGACGCACAGACAGACACAGAUGCACAGACAGACACAGACAGAGACACACAGAAACACACAGAGACACAUGGAGACAGACAUACACAGAGACAGACACACAAAGACACAGAGACACACAGACAUAGACAGACAUAUGGAGACACACAGACAUAGACAGACAUACGGAGACACACAGACAGACACAGAGACACACACAGAGACAUAG